Molecule: ribosomal RNA, 497 nt
Filed under: uncultured bacterium
Lineage: Bacteria
Description: partial 16S ribosomal RNA
Rfam family: Bacterial small subunit ribosomal RNA
Source: RNAcentral
GAUGAACGCUGGCGGCGUGCCUAAUACAUGCAAGUCGAACGCAUAGCGAAAGGUGCUUGCACCUUUCAAGUGAGUGGCGAACGGGUGAGUAACCCGUGGACAACCUGCCUCAAGGCUGGGGAUAACAUUUGGAAACAGAUGCUAAUACCGAAUAAAACUUAGUGUCGCAUGACACAAAGUUAAAAGGCGCUUCGGCGUCACCUAGAGAUGGAUCCGCGGUGCAUUAGUUAGUUGGUGGGGUAAAGGCCUACCAAGACAAUGAUGCAUAGCCGAGUUGAGAGACUGAUCGGCCACAUUGGGACUGAGACACGGCCCAAACUCCUACGGGAGGCUGCAGUAGGGAAUCUUCCACAAUGGGCGAAAGCCUGAUGGAGCAACGCCGCGUGUGUGAUGAAGGCUUUCGGGUCGUAAAGCACUGUUGUAUGGGAAGAACAGCUAGAAUAGGAAAUGAUUUUAGUUUGACGGUACCAUACCAGAAAGGGACGGCUAAAUACGUG